ACCGCCGCGGGGGGUGCAACCGUUGUCCUGAGCCGUCCGCCGCUUCCCGGGUGUGCGGGCAUGCAUGGCUUCUUCCUUUGGGAGAGCCUCAA
This 92-nucleotide ribosomal RNA is filed under the name Giardia duodenalis. Its description in RNAcentral is "Giardia intestinalis partial small subunit ribosomal RNA". Lineage: Eukaryota; Fornicata; Diplomonadida; Hexamitidae. The record is from RNAcentral.